RNAcentral lists this small RNA (164 nucleotides) under Rhodococcus sp. (in: high G+C Gram-positive bacteria). RNAcentral's name for it is "Rhodococcus sp. c-di-AMP sequence". It matches the Rfam family "c-di-AMP riboswitch aptamer (ydaO/yuaA leader)". From Rfam's summary of the family: This family represents a conserved RNA structure found upstream of the ydaO and yuaA genes in Bacillus subtilis and related genes in other bacteria. The ydaO/yuaA element is thought to act as a genetic "off" switch for the ydaO and yuaA genes in its native state. Lineage: Bacteria; Bacillati; Actinomycetota; Actinomycetes; Mycobacteriales; Nocardiaceae. The record is from RNAcentral.
GCAAGGUCACCGCCUAAUCGGCCACCUCUUCCGGGUGGUCGUACCGGGAACCCACCGUUACACCGGGGUGAAUCCCAUCGAGUCGCCUGGCGGCUCGAUGAGUAGGGCUGAUCUUCCCAGCCCGAACCCGUCAGCUAACUCGGUCGGCGGAUAUCAGGAAGAAA